RNAcentral lists this small RNA (548 nucleotides) under uncultured Fusobacterium sp. RNAcentral describes it as "bacterial SSU rRNA". The stretch from base 1 to 342 matches the Rfam family "Bacterial small subunit ribosomal RNA", at positions 1194 to 1533 of the family's 1533-position model. The record is from RNAcentral. Lineage: Bacteria; Fusobacteriati; Fusobacteriota; Fusobacteriia; Fusobacteriales; Fusobacteriaceae.
CAUGCCCCUUAUACGCUGGGCUACACACGUGCUACAAUGGGUAGAACAGAGAGUCGCAAAGCUGUGAAGUGGAGCUAAUCUCAGAAAACUAUUCUUAGUUCGGAUUGCACUCUGCAACUCGAGUACAUGAAGUUGGAAUCGCUAGUAAUCGCGAAUCACCAAUGUCGUUGGUGAAUACGUUCUCGGGUCUUGUACACACCGCCCGUCACACCACGAGAGUUGGUUGCACCUGAAGUAGCAGGCCUAACCGUAAGGAGGGAUGCUCCGAGGGUGUGAUUAGCGAUUGGGGUGAAGUCGUAACAAGGUAUCCGUACGGGAACGUGCGGAUGGAUCACCUCCUUUCUAAGGAGAAAAAGUCUUUCUCUAUUCUAUUGGUAAUGUUCUUUACAUUACUUCUGAACAUUGGAAACUAUAUAGUAGAACAAAAAUAACUCUAACAAUUUCUUAGAGUUAGCUGUCAAAAAAUAGGUUAAAAUAAUUAAGGGCACACAAAGGAUGCCUAGGUAGUAAGAGCCGAUGAAGGACGUGAUAAGCUGCGAUAAGCCUAG